CUGAUUAUACUGUGAGAACGAAAGUUCUUGCUUUUAACUAGAUAACAACUUUCAGCAGUGGAUGUCUAGGCUCGCACAUCGAUGAAGAACGCUGCGAACUGCGAUACGUAAUGCGAAUUGCAGAAUUCAGUGAGUCAUCGAAAUUUUGAACGCAUAUUGCACUUCCGGGUUAUGCCUGGAAGUAUGUCUGUAUCAGUGUCCGUAAAUCAAACUUGCGUUUCUUCCUUCCGUGUAGUCGGUGGAGGAGAGUUGCAGAUGUGAAGUGUCUCGCUGUGGUUGGUGUUUGUUGUUUGCAAUGAAUGCACAGCUUGCGAGUCCUUUUAAAUGGACACGACUUUCUCUUUUUUGUAUGUGCGCGGUGCUGUGCGUGAACGCGGUGGUUUUCGGAUCGCUCGCGGCUGUCGGCGACUUCGGUGAAUGCAUAAUGGAGUGGACCUCGAUUCGCGGUAUGUUGGGCUUCGGCUGGACAAUGUUGCUUAUUGUGUGUCUGUUCCGUGUUCGCCUUGAGGUGUACUGAUGGCUGUGGGAUUGAACUGGUUACUGUUGUUAGUAGUGUGUGUAGCACGUUGUCGUGGAUGCAUCUGUGUUUUUGCAUACUUGUGUGUGUGCAAUUGUACAGAAGAGGAGUCUCAAUUUGGGAAAAGUUU
RNAcentral lists this ribosomal RNA (647 nucleotides) under Globisporangium irregulare. RNAcentral describes it as "eukaryotic LSU rRNA". The stretch from base 47 to 201 matches the Rfam family "5.8S ribosomal RNA". The record is from RNAcentral. Lineage: Eukaryota; Oomycota; Peronosporomycetes; Pythiales; Pythiaceae.